Molecule: long non-coding RNA, 1059 nt
Organism: Carassius carassius (crucian carp)
Lineage: Eukaryota; Metazoa; Chordata; Actinopteri; Cypriniformes; Cyprinidae
Exons: 2
Source: RefSeq, a predicted model, not a curated record
CAAAUGAGGUGUCUCCGUUUCCGCUCCUCGGGUUAUAAGUCAGAUCACAUUUUUUUUCGAAAGCUCGGUUGUUGUAGUCUACUUUCUGUAUCACCAUACAGAGUUAAAUCAGAGCAUAUGCUGCCUCAGAGUUAAAAAAAUUGCUAAAGACUGGACGUACAACAGUAUAUGGGCGCCCCCUAGCGUUAGGAUUAUUUCUUGCCAAACUCGCUUUUAAGGUGGAAGAGCCAUCUUAAAUGGAAUCUACAUCGGUCGCUCGGCUCUCACUUACACCAAAGUAGCAUGCGCCUAUUUUAUUCUGAUUAAUGCUUUUGAGAUUUCCCUCUAAUUGACUUGGACGUUGCAGAUGUGCACUUUUACGUCUUUUCCACACAUUUUCUCCACAGUUUUGUUCACGCACGGGAAUAGCUCAGCGUUUCGGUUAUUUUUGGCCAGUUUUUUGAAACGAUCAAAAGUGAGCACCGUACCUCAUCUCUGACCAUUCAAAAGCCUGUAUGUGAACAAGACAGCCGAAGGUAAGGCUACCGCAGACGUAAAUUAUAGCGUAAGAUGCAAAGUGGAUUUUACCCCCAAGAUCAAGGUAGAAUACGACAUUCUGGCAGACUAGCUGUGUAUUGUCUCAGACCUCUGCAGGACUGUGACGAAGGCAGAGGACAUGGCCACUGUGGGAACUGAAGAAUACUGAGUGGUGACGUUGACAUCAACACCAAAUGCCUGAUGGGACGAGAAACUUCAUGCAAAGAUCCCAAAAUGACAAAGCAGGGAAGGUUGGCCUUAAUGUAUGCCUUUGACCUACUGGAGCAACUAACCUGUAAUGGAUUUUUUUUAUAGGCAAAAGACUACAAACUGCUUGAAAUCAACUACAUACAUAUUGUAAUUCUGCAAAUAAUGUUAUGAUGUAUGAUUAAAUAAUGCAACCAAACAAGACAUAGCACUGUAUCUUUCUAGAGAAUGAUGCAAUGAAAGAAAAUCUUUUCUUGAUGACAAUAGUUGAAAUGUUUAAUUUUCAACCGUACAAUUCUGCCAAAAGCAAGUUAAUAAACAUGGCUCCUGUAUGCA